AUUCCAGCUCCAAUAGCGUAUAUUAAAGUUGUUGCAGUUAAAAAGCUCGUAGUUGGAUUUCUGGUUAGAUGCGCCUGGCCCGCCGACGUUCAGUCGUGUGAAGUGCUGGUGCGCAACUGCCAUCCUUCUAGAGAAGGGACCAACGGUUCAUUCCGGUUCGGUUCACAAUCUAGAUCUUUUACUUUGAAAAAAUUAGAGUGUUUAAAGCAGGCUUUUGCUAUGAAUACAUUAGCAUGGAAUAAUAAUUUAGGACUCUGUUUCCAUUUUGUUGGUUUCCGGAAACGGAGUAAUGAUUGAUAGGGAUUGUUGGGGGUGCUAGUAUUCAGCGGCCAGAGGUGAAAUUCUCGGAUUCGCUGAAGACUAACUUAUGCGAAAGCAUUCACCAAGGAAGUCUUCAUUG
Molecule: ribosomal RNA, 400 nt
Filed under: Filosa sp.
Lineage: Eukaryota; Cercozoa
Description: partial small subunit ribosomal RNA
Rfam family: Eukaryotic small subunit ribosomal RNA
Source: RNAcentral